GAGAAAGUAUCAAGAACUGCUAACUCCUGAGACCAUAACUAAAAUUUAUGGCUUUCU
This 57-nucleotide transfer RNA is filed under the name Gracilinanus agilis (Agile Gracile Mouse Opossum). Its description in RNAcentral is "tRNA-Ser". The record is from RNAcentral. Lineage: Eukaryota; Metazoa; Chordata; Mammalia; Didelphimorphia; Didelphidae.